Molecule: ribosomal RNA, 497 nt
Filed under: uncultured bacterium
Lineage: Bacteria
Description: partial 16S ribosomal RNA
Rfam family: Bacterial small subunit ribosomal RNA
Source: RNAcentral
GAUGAACGCUGGCGGCGUGCCUAAUACAUGCAAGUCGAGCGAACAGACGAGGAGCUUGCUUCUCUGAUGUUAGCGGCGGACGGGUGAGUAACACGUGGAUAACCUACCUAUAAGACUGGGAUAACUUCGGGAAACCGGAGCUAAUACCGGAUAAUAUUUUGAACCGCAUGGUUCAAAAGUGAAAGACGGUCUUGCUGUCACUUAUAGAUGGAUCCGCGCUGCAUUAGCUAGUUGGUAAGGUAACGGCUUACCAAGGCAACGAUGCAUAGCCGACCUGAGAGGGUGAUCGGCCACACUGGAACUGAGACACGGUCCAGACUCCUACGGGAGGCAGCAGUAGGGAAUCUUCCGCAAUGGGCGAAAGCCUGACGGAGCAACGCCGCGUGAGUGAUGAAGGUCUUCGGAUCGUAAAACUCUGUUAUUAGGGAAGAACAAAUGUGUAAGUAACUAUGCACAUCUUGACGGUACCUAAUCAGAAAGCCACGGCUAACUACGUG